This is a non-coding RNA of Dermatophagoides farinae (American house dust mite), 715 nucleotides long. NCBI's taxonomy places the organism in Eukaryota, Metazoa, Arthropoda, Arachnida, Sarcoptiformes, Pyroglyphidae. The record is from RefSeq and is a predicted model, not a curated record.
CUCGAAAAACAAUCAAACAAGAUAAUACCAUCUGGUUUCAUUUGAGUGUAAAAUAGUAUAACUGAUGAUGAUGAUUCAUUUAUUACACAUUCGAAAAACUAUCGAUAGUCGAUGGUACAAAAAAAAAAAAUUGUUUCAUCCAAAAUCUAGUUACUAAAACAUGAAUCGAUUACAAAAUAUUAUUGAUUUUUUUUUCGGGACAAAAUUGUUAUCGAUUUGGCUCAUUCAUUAUUAUCAUUAUCGAACGGCAUCCAAUUUUGAUAUCCGACCAAUGAAGAGAUAUGUGUGUAUGUCGCUGCAAAAACUAGCCACUUUGAUCCAUAAAUGACCACACAAACAUGGUCAUCAUAAUGUUUCAUGGUAUAUCCAUUAGUGUUUCGAAAAAAAUAUCAAUUAUGUGACAAAGCUUAUUAAAACUAUCAAUUUAAACCAUAUAUAUAACAACAACAACAAUUCCAAAGAUGAUCCCGAAUCCAUUCAAAUAACGUCAACGAAGGAAAUUGAGAUAAACACUGGAAGAAAUAAAAAUCUCAGAAAAUAUACUGGUUGGUUCCACACAUUUUUCUUUUCACGUCCAUUGCUUUAUCUGCUGUACGCGUGUGGAUUGAUAAUCGAAGACUAAUAUAAAUCACAAAUCAAGAAGAAAUUUGAAAAAUGAAUAAAGGAUAUAUAUUCAAUUUUCGGUCAAUUGAAAAAAAAUGGUUUGCUUUCCUGA